AAGAGAGAUAGUGAGAGAAAGGGGUAGAGAGAACUUAGAGAGAGUAGAAAGGAUGAACCGCCGGAAGACUCACCGAAAACUACCGUCGGGAGUCUAUUCCGGUGAAGAUCAUGAUGCAAGGAAGUGAAGAUCAUGCAGAGAGACUUUCUUAGAAGGGAAAAGAGAAUGUGGGUGGCCGGAGUCCCAUUUUUCAUCAAGAAGUCGAAAAACCCGCAACGAACAACUCUACGCGUGAUCUGUGAAAAAGUUUGGCCGAGAUCUCAACCCGAAGGCGGAGAUCCGAGAGUCGUCCGAGAACGGGACCUAAUUUAAAGAAAUCAGUACUUUUGGACACC
Molecule: long non-coding RNA, 335 nt
Organism: Cucurbita moschata (crookneck pumpkin)
Lineage: Eukaryota; Viridiplantae; Streptophyta; Magnoliopsida; Cucurbitales; Cucurbitaceae
Exons: 3
Source: RefSeq, a predicted model, not a curated record